Molecule: long non-coding RNA, 360 nt
Filed under: Piliocolobus tephrosceles (Ugandan red Colobus)
Lineage: Eukaryota; Metazoa; Chordata; Mammalia; Primates; Cercopithecidae
Description: lncRNA (ENSPTEG00000005319.1)
Source: RNAcentral
CAAGUGCAAGCAGGAGAGAGUCACACAACACAUUAUCUUUGCAUGGAAGACAAGAAUAUCUCCCACUAGAGAAAACUUCAGGCCUAACAGGUAACCUCCGAUGGGGCAAGUUUAAAAAGCUAUUUUCUGGAGCAGGUACUAGGAUGGCCUUCAGGAGCAUCUUAGUGCUUUCUGACCUACCAGCGUUCCUCACAGCUUUGAAUCCUUUUCCGCUUUCUCCACUUGAAUGUGAACAUCUACAGACCUACAGCUCAGAAGCCAGCAUGCUUAAAGGGUAUAAUGGAGGACACGGCCGAAAAACUUUGCACUUUUCAACCAGACAAAUGCAAAACCUGGUGGGCGUAAGAAGGAGCACAUAUG